GUUUCCCAAGUCCCCCCCUUUACCAGUGUUUCCCAAGUCCCCCCUUUACCAGUGUUUCCCAAGUCCUCCCCUUUACCAGUGUUUCCCAGAUCCUCCCCUUUACCAGUGUUUCCCAGACCCCAAGUCCCCCCCUUUACCAGUGUUUCCCAGACCCCAAGUCCCCCCCUUUACCAGUGUUUCCCAGACCCCAAGUCCCC
Long non-coding RNA from Oncorhynchus keta (chum salmon), 197 nucleotides. RefSeq lists it as uncharacterized. The record is from RefSeq and is a predicted model, not a curated record. Lineage: Eukaryota; Metazoa; Chordata; Actinopteri; Salmoniformes; Salmonidae. The transcript is spliced from 3 exons.